This 709-nucleotide ribosomal RNA is filed under the name uncultured bacterium. RNAcentral describes it as "bacterial SSU rRNA". It matches the Rfam family "Bacterial small subunit ribosomal RNA", at positions 777 to 1500 of the family's 1533-position model. The record is from RNAcentral.
AUUAGAUACCCUGGUAGUCCACACAGUAAACGAUGAAUACUCGCUGUUUGCUAUAUACAGUAAGCGGCCAAGCGAAAGCAUUAAGUAUUCCACCUGGGGAGUACGCCGGCAACGGUGAAACUCAAAGGAAUUGACGGGGGCCCGCACAAGCGGAGGAACAUGUGGUUUAAUUCGAUGAUACGCGAGGAACCUUACCCGGGCUUAAAUUGCAUUUGAAUAUAUUGGAAACAGUAUAGCCGUAAGGCAAAUGUGAAGGUGCUGCAUGGUUGUCGUCAGUUCGUGCCGUGAGGUGUCGGCUUAAGUGCCAUAACGAGCGCAACCCCCAUCGACAGUUGCUAACAGGUAAAGCUGAGGACUCUGUCGAGACUGCCGGCGCAAGCCGUGAGGAAGGCGGGGAUGACGUCAAAUCAGCACGGCCCUUACGUCCGGGGCGACACACGUGUUACAAUGGUCGGUACAGCGGGAAGCCAGGCGGCGACGCCGAGCGGAACCCGAAAUCCACUCUCAGUUCGGAUCGGAGUCUGCAACCCGACUCCGUGAAGCUGGAUUCGCUAGUAAUCGCGCAUCAGCCAUGGCGCGGUGAAUACGUUCCCGGGCCUUGUACACACCGCCCGUCAAGCCAUGGGAGCCGAGGGCGCUUGAAGUGCGUCGCCGCAAGGCGCGCCCUAGAGCGAAAUCGGUGACUGGGGCUAAGUCGUAACAAGGUAAC